UUCGGAUUGUAGUCUGCAACCCGGCUACAUGAAGCUGGAAUCGCUAGUAAUCGCGGAUCAGAAUGCCGCGGUGAAUACGUUCCCGGGUCUUGUACACACCGCCCGUCACUCCAUGGGAGUCGGAAAUGCCCGAAGUCUGUGACCCAACCUCAGGGAGGGAGCAGCCGAAGGCAGGUCGGAUGACUGGGGUGAAGUCGUAACAAGGUAUC
Molecule: ribosomal RNA, 209 nt
Filed under: uncultured bacterium
Lineage: Bacteria
Description: partial 16S ribosomal RNA
Rfam family: Bacterial small subunit ribosomal RNA
Source: RNAcentral